This is a small nuclear RNA of Suricata suricatta (meerkat), 135 nucleotides long. Its record names the gene U4. It matches the Rfam family "U4 spliceosomal RNA". Rfam says of the family: U4 small nuclear RNA (U4 snRNA) is a component of the major U2-dependent spliceosome. Lineage: Eukaryota; Metazoa; Chordata; Mammalia; Carnivora; Herpestidae. The record is from Ensembl.
AGCUUUGCGUAGUGGUAGUAUCGUAGCCAAUGAGGUUUAUCCGAGGCAUGAUUAUUGCUAAGAGUUGGACGCUUAACCGACUGAGCCAUCCAGGCGCCCCUCCUUUGCAGAAUUCUUAAAUCAGCUGUGCCAGCU